UACGAAGGUGCCAAGCGUUGUUCGGAAUCACUGGGCGUAAAGGGAGCGUAGGCGGCGCGGUAACUCAGAUGUGAAAUCCCGGGGCUCAACCCCGGAACUGCAUCCGAUACUGCCGUGCUUGAGGGUUGGAGAGGUAGCUGGAAUUAUCGGUGUAGCAGUGAAAUGCGUGGAUAUCGAUAGGAACACUCGUGGCGAAGGCGAGCUACUGGACAACAUCUGACGCUGAGGCUCGAAGGCCAGGGGAGCAAAAGGG
This 253-nucleotide ribosomal RNA is filed under the name uncultured bacterium. RNAcentral's name for it is "partial 16S ribosomal RNA". It matches the Rfam family "Bacterial small subunit ribosomal RNA", at positions 524 to 776 of the family's 1533-position model. The record is from RNAcentral.